GUGGGGAAUUUUGGACAAUGGGGGAAACCCUGAUCCAGCCAUGCCGCGUGUGUGAAGAAGGCCUUCGGGUUGUAAAGCACUUUCGGACGGAACGAAAUCGCGCGUGCGAACACCACGCGUGGAUGACGGUACCGUAAGAAGAAGCACCGGCUAACUACGUGCCAGCAGCCGCGGUAAUACGUAGGGUGCGAGCGUUAAUCGGAAUUACUGGGCGUAAAGCGUGCGCAGGCGGCGCUGCAAGUCAGGCGUGAAAGCCCCGAGCUCAACUUGGGAAUUGCGCUUGAAACUACGGUGCUGGAGUGUGGCAGAGGGAGGUGGAAUUCCACGUGUAGCGGUGAAAUGCGUAGAGAUGUGGAGGAACACCGAUGGCGAAGGCAGCCUCCUGGGCCAACACUGACGCUCAUGCACGAAAGCGUGGGGAGCAAACAGGAUUAGAUACCCGAGUAGUCC
RNAcentral lists this ribosomal RNA (450 nucleotides) under uncultured bacterium. RNAcentral describes it as "bacterial SSU rRNA". It matches the Rfam family "Bacterial small subunit ribosomal RNA", at positions 354 to 796 of the family's 1533-position model. The record is from RNAcentral.